Molecule: ribosomal RNA, 253 nt
Filed under: uncultured bacterium
Lineage: Bacteria
Description: partial 16S ribosomal RNA
Rfam family: Bacterial small subunit ribosomal RNA
Source: RNAcentral
GACGAACCACACAAACGUUAUUCGGAAUUACUGGGCUUAAAGGGUGCGUAGGCGGCGCGGAAAGUAGGGUGUGAAAUCCCUCGGCUCAACCGAGGAAUUGCGCCCUAAACUACCGUGCUCGAGGGAGAUAGAGGUGAGUGGAACUUAGGGUGGAGCGGUGAAAUGCGUUGAUAUCCUAAGGAACACCGGUGGCGAAAGCGGCUCACUGGACCGGUACUGACGCUGAUGCGCGAAAGCGUGGGGAGCAAACGGG